UUCUCUUCCAUUCCUAAAAAGGUAUAGACAAUCCAGUACACACGAGCUAGGUGACCCUGUUGUUACCACUGGUGCGGCUGCUUUGGGAUGAAAUUUGGGCUAAAAAGAAAUGGAGGAUACGGUACAGAUCAUCAAGUGUAAGUCGUAGGAAAUCAUUGGUCCAGCUUCUUUGAGAUGACACUUGGACUGGAAAAACAUGAAAGAUAAAUAUUAAGCAAAGAUCAUCAAGCUAAUUGAUCAGUGUAUAGGAACCACUGGUCUUUGGGAUGACACUUGGACUGGAAAAACAUGAAAGAUAAAUAUUAAGUAAUAAAAGAAUGAAAGAAAUUGAAUGGAAAACUACAUAUAUCGAGUGCUUUGAUAAACAGUUAGGAACACUUCCAUCCAUUUAUAGGCAAAGAUCAUCAAGCUAAUUGAUCAGUGUAUAGGAACCACUGGUCUUUGGGAUGACAGUUGGACUGGAAAGAUAUGGAAGAGAAAUGAUAACUUCAUCUCCGGACCUUAAAAGAAGAAGCAAGAACAACUGUAACAGCUUAGAUAGGCAUAGAUAGGAAUUACCUGGACAUUAUAUAGCGAGACAGUCAUCAAGGAUGGAUCCAGGGGGCUGUGACACUCCACUCUUGACCCAGGGAAGGGCCGAUCCCCUAACCAUACCUGACAUCACUGAAAUGAAAUGCUAUUCAAUCAAAUCAAGUUUUUUAGAGCGAUGAAAUGCGGUGAAAAUGUGAGUGGAUUUCAAUGCCCUUCUGAAACCAAAGUUCAAUAAAAACCCUGGAUCCACCCUUAGAUAAUGCAUAAGUGAUUUCCGAGAUGUGAGAGCGCUUUCAACACUAAUAUGGCUGGCGCAAGCAUGAAAACGAGGAAUGAUAUUAGUGAGUUUUCGGAAAAACGCUCGAAAAUGCGUCAUUUAUACUCACACAUCAAAAUAACGAACAGUAAAUAGAGCUAUAAAAUACACAUGAAAGCAUUAUUUCCAAGAAAAAGAAAUUUUUAAU
Molecule: long non-coding RNA, 995 nt
Organism: Exaiptasia diaphana
Lineage: Eukaryota; Metazoa; Cnidaria; Anthozoa; Actiniaria; Aiptasiidae
Exons: 4
Source: RefSeq, a predicted model, not a curated record